GGACGGGUCGCCUAGCUCGGUCGAGGGCGCGGCACUGGAAAUGCCGUAGGCCCGCAAGGGCCUCGAGGGUUCAAAUCCCUCCCCGUCCGCCA
Molecule: transfer RNA, 92 nt
Filed under: Chloroflexota bacterium
Lineage: Bacteria; Bacillati; Chloroflexota
Also listed under: 2 other names
Description: Chloroflexi bacterium tRNA-Ser
Rfam family: tRNA
About the family: Transfer RNA (tRNA) molecules are approximately 80 nucleotides in length.
Source: RNAcentral